ACAUAAAUCACCAAUUUCUCCAGUUUAAGUGUUGGAAAAUAUGAACAAGUUUCAAAUUUUAAUCCUCUUCACCCUUGCCCUUGUUUUUUUAAUGCCUAGAGAAAAUGAAGCAGAAAGGUUCUGUCUGUUGCCCCUAAAACCAGGCUUGGAUUGCAGCGACCCGAAAAAAUGCUAUUUCGCGUGUGAAAUUUUAUUCAGUCGGCAAUAUGAUCCAAAAAUAAUAAGAUCACUUUGUGCAUCAGAUUGCCUUUGCUUUCGAAUAUGCUAAUUAAUUUAAAGGGCAAUUUCCCAACCUUUGUGGCAGUCACAAUAUGAAUAAAAAGAUUUAUUUAUCGUAAUGGCAUGAAAAUGA
Molecule: long non-coding RNA, 352 nt
Organism: Mangifera indica (mango)
Lineage: Eukaryota; Viridiplantae; Streptophyta; Magnoliopsida; Sapindales; Anacardiaceae
Exons: 2
Source: RefSeq, a predicted model, not a curated record